This 253-nucleotide ribosomal RNA is filed under the name uncultured bacterium. RNAcentral describes it as "partial 16S ribosomal RNA". It matches the Rfam family "Bacterial small subunit ribosomal RNA", at positions 524 to 776 of the family's 1533-position model. The record is from RNAcentral.
UACGUAGGGAGCAAGCGUUGUCCGGAUUCACUGGGUGUAAAGGGUGCGCAGGCGGAUUGGCAAGUCAGAGGUGAAAUCUCACGGCUCAACCGUGAAACUGCCUUUGAUACUGCUGAUCUUGAGUUAGGGAGAGGUUGAUGGAAUUCUAGGUGUAGCGGUGAAAUGCGUAGAUAUCUAGAAGAACACCAGUGGCGAAGGCGGUCAACUGGCCCUAAACUGACGCUCAGGCACGAAAGCGUGGGGAUCAAACAGG